UUGACUGCGCCCAGGUGUACCAGAAUGAU
This 29-nucleotide non-coding RNA is filed under the name Mus musculus (house mouse). The record is from RNAcentral. Lineage: Eukaryota; Metazoa; Chordata; Mammalia; Rodentia; Muridae.